AAAGGCCAAUCAAACCGGGAGAUAGCUGGUUCUCCCCGAAAGCUAUUUAGGUAGCGCCUCGUGAAUUCAUCUCCGGGGGUAGAGCACUGUUUCGGCUAGGGGGCCAUCCCGGCUUACCAACCCGAUGCAAACUGCGAAUACCGGAGAAUGUUAUCACGGGAGACACACGGCGGGUGCUAACGUCCGUCGUGAAGAGGGAAACAACCCAGACCGCCAGCUAAGGUCCCAAAGUCAUAGUUAAGUGGGAAACGAUGUGGGAAGGCCCAGACAGCCAGGAUGUUGGCUUAGAAGCAGCCAUCAUUUAAAGAAAGCGUAAUAGCUCACUGGUCGAGUCGGCCUGCGCGGAAGAUGUAACGGGGCUAAACUAUGCACCGAAGCUGCGGCAGCGACACUAUGUGUUGUUGGGUAGGGGAGCGUUCUGUAAGCCUGUGAAGGUGUGUCGUGAGGCAUGCUGGAGGUAUCAGAAGUGCGAAUGCUGACAUAAGUAACGAUAAAGCGGGUGAAAAGCCCGCUCGCCGGAAGACCAAGGGUUCCUGUCCAACGUUAAUCGGGGCAGGGUGAGUCGACCCCUAAGGCGAGGCCGAAAGGCGUAGUCGAUGGGAAACGGGUUAAUAUUCCCGUACUUGGUGUUACUGCGAAGGGGGGACGGAGAAGGCUAUGUUGGCCGGGCGACGGUUGUCCCGGUUUAAGCGUGUAGGUGUGUGUUCCAGGUAAAUCCGGUUCACUUUAACACUGAGGCGUGAUGACGAGGCACUACGGUGCUGAAGCAACAAAUGCCCUGCUUCCAGGAAAAGCCUCUAAGCAUCAGGUAACAUCAAAUCGUACCCCAAACCGACACAGGUGGUCAGGUAGAGAAUACCAAGGCGCUUGAGAGAACUCGGGUGAAGGAACUAGGCAAAAUGGUGCCGUAACUUCGGGAGAAGGCACGCUGACACGUAGGUGAAGUGAUUUACUCAUGGAGCUGAAGUCAGUCGAAGAUACCAGCUGGCUGCAACUGUUUAUUAAAAACACAGCACUGUGCAAACACGAAAGUGGACGUAUACGGUGUGACGCCUGCCCGGUGCCGGAAGGUUAAUUGAUGGGGUCAGCGCAAGCGAAGCUCCUGAUCGAAGCCCCGGUAAACGGCGGCCGUAACUAUAACGGUCCUAAGGUAGCGAAAUUCCUUGUCGGGUAAGUUCCGACCUGCACGAAUGGCGUAAUGAUGGCCAGGCUGUCUCCACCCGAGACUCAGUGAAAUUGAACUCGCUGUGAAGAUGCAGUGUACCCGCGGCAAGACGGAAAGACCCCGUGAACCUUUACUAUAGCUUGACACUGAACAUUGAGCCUUGAUGUGUAGGAUAGGUGGGAGGCUUUGAAGUGUGGACGCCAGUCUGCAUGGAGCCGACCUUGAAAUACCACCCUUUAAUGUUUGAUGUUCUAACGUGGACCCGUGAUCCGGGUUGCGGACAGUGUCUGGUGGGUAGUUUGACUGGGGCGGUCUCCUCCUAAAGAGUAACGGAGGAGCACGAAGGUUGGCUAAUCCUGGUCGGACAUCAGGAGGUUAGUGCAAUGGCAUAAGCCAGCUUGACUGCGAGCGUGACGGCGCGAGCAGGUGCGAAAGCAGGUCAUAGUGAUCCGGUGGUUCUGAAUGGAAGGGCCAUCGCUCAACGGAUAAAAGGUACUCCGGGGAUAACAGGCUGAUACCGCCCAAGAGUUCAUAUCGACGGCGGUGUUUGGCACCUCGAUGUCGGCUCAUCACAUCCUGGGGCUGAAGUAGGUCCCAAGGGUAUGGCUGUUCGCCAUUUAAAGUGGUACGCGAGCUGGGUUUAGAACGUCGUGAGACAGUUCGGUCCCUAUCUGCCGUGGGCGCUGGAGAACUGAGGGGGGCUGCUCCUAGUACGAGAGGACCGGAGUGGACGCAUCACUGGUGUUCGGGUUGUCAUGCCAAUGGCACUGCCCGGUAGCUAAAUGCGGAAGAGAUAAGUGCUGAAAGCAUCUAAGCACGAAACUUGCCCCGAG
Molecule: ribosomal RNA, 1998 nt
Filed under: Salmonella enterica
Lineage: Bacteria; Pseudomonadati; Pseudomonadota; Gammaproteobacteria; Enterobacterales; Enterobacteriaceae
Description: partial 23S ribosomal RNA
Rfam family: Bacterial large subunit ribosomal RNA
Source: RNAcentral